GACGAACGCUGGCGGCGUGCUUAACACAUGCAAGUCGAACGGAAAGGCCCUGCUUUUGUGGGGUGCUCGAGUGGCGAACGGGUGAGUAACACGUGAGUAACCUGCCCUUGACUUUGGGAUAACUUCAGGAAACUGGGGCUAAUACCGGAUAGGAGCUCCUGCUGCAUGGUGGGGGUUGGAAAGUUUCGGCGGUUGGGGAUGGACUCGCGGCUUAUCAGCUUGUUGGUGGGGUAGUGGCUUACCAAGGCUUUGACGGGUAGCCGGCCUGAGAGGGUGACCGGCCACAUUGGGCCUGAGGUACGGCCCAGACUCCUACGGGAGGCAGCAGUGGGGAGUAUUGCACAAUGGGCGGAAGCCUGAUGCAGCAACGCCGCGUGCGGGAUGACGGCCUUCGGGUUGUAAACCGCUUUCGCCUGUGACGAAGCGUGAGUGACGGUAAUGGGUAAAGAAGCACCGGCUAACUACGUG
This 468-nucleotide ribosomal RNA is filed under the name uncultured bacterium. RNAcentral describes it as "partial 16S ribosomal RNA". It matches the Rfam family "Bacterial small subunit ribosomal RNA", at positions 28 to 507 of the family's 1533-position model. The record is from RNAcentral.